This 397-nucleotide ribosomal RNA is filed under the name uncultured bacterium. RNAcentral describes it as "partial 16S ribosomal RNA". It matches the Rfam family "Bacterial small subunit ribosomal RNA", at positions 523 to 918 of the family's 1533-position model. The record is from RNAcentral.
AUACGUAGGGGGCGAGCGUUGUCCGGAAUGAUUGGGCGUAAAGGGCGCGUAGGCGGCCUGUUAAGUCUGGAGUGAAAGUCCUGUUUUCAAGAUGGGAAUUGCUUUGGAUACUGAUGGGCUUGAGUGCAGGAGAGGUUAUCGGAAUUCCCGGUGUAGCGGUGAAAUGCGUAGAGAUCGGGAGGAACACCAGUGGCGAAGGCGGGUAACUGGACUGCAACUGACGCUGAGGCGCGAAAGUGUGGGGAGCAAACAGGAUUAGAUACCCUGGUAGUCCACACUGUAAACGAUGAAUGCUAGGUGUAAGAGGUAUCGACCCCUUUUGUGCCGGAGUCAACACAAUAAGCAUUCCGCCUGGGGAGUACGGCCGCAAGGUUGAAACUUAAAGGAAUUGACGGGG